UGGCUCAGUUGGUAGAGCAUGGUGUUUGCAACGCCAGCAUGGUGUGUGCAACACCAGGGUUGUGGGUUCGAUUCCCAU
Molecule: transfer RNA, 78 nt
Filed under: Salmo salar (Atlantic salmon)
Lineage: Eukaryota; Metazoa; Chordata; Actinopteri; Salmoniformes; Salmonidae
Rfam family: tRNA
About the family: Transfer RNA (tRNA) molecules are approximately 80 nucleotides in length. Their secondary structure includes four short double-helical elements and three loops (D, anti-codon, and T loops). Further hydrogen bonds mediate the characteristic L-shaped molecular structure. tRNAs have two regions of fundamental functional importance: the anti-codon, which is responsible for specific mRNA codon recognition, and the 3' end, to which the tRNAs corresponding amino acid is attached (by aminoacyl-tRNA synthetases). tRNAs cope with the degeneracy of the genetic code in two manners: having more than one tRNA (with a specific anti-codon) for a particular amino acid; and 'wobble' base-pairing, i.e. permitting non-standard base-pairing at the 3rd anti-codon position.
Source: Rfam by way of RNAcentral